UAGGGAAUCUUCGGCAAUGGACGAAAGUCUGACCGAGCAACGCCGCGUGAGUGAAGAAGGUUCUCGGAUCGUAAAACUCUGUUGUUAGAGAAGAACAAGGACGUUAGUAACUGAACGUCCCCUGACGGUAUCUAACCAGAAAGCCACGGCUAACUACGUGCCAGCAGCCGCGGUAAUACGUAGGUGGCAAGCGUUGUCGGGAUUUAUUGGGCGUAAAGCGAGCGCGGGCGGUUUCUUAAGUCUGAUGUGAAAGCCCCCGGCUCAACCGGGGAGGGUCAUUGGAAACUGGGGGACUUGGGGGAGGAAGAGGAGAGUGGAAUUCCAUGGGUAGCGGUGAAAGGGGAAGGUAUAGGGAGGAACACCAGUGGGGAAGGCGGCUCUCUGGACUGUAACCGACGCUAAGGCUCGAAAGCGUGGGGAGCAAACAGG
Molecule: ribosomal RNA, 429 nt
Filed under: Gemmatimonadota bacterium
Lineage: Bacteria; Pseudomonadati; Gemmatimonadota
Description: Gemmatimonadetes bacterium partial 16S ribosomal RNA
Rfam family: Bacterial small subunit ribosomal RNA
Source: RNAcentral